Pogona vitticeps (central bearded dragon) is the source of this 69-nucleotide small nuclear RNA. Its record names the gene U1. It matches the Rfam family "U1 spliceosomal RNA". From Rfam's summary of the family: U1 is a small nuclear RNA (snRNA) component of the spliceosome (involved in pre-mRNA splicing). Its 5' end forms complementary base pairs with the 5' splice junction, thus defining the 5' donor site of an intron. The record is from Ensembl. Lineage: Eukaryota; Metazoa; Chordata; Lepidosauria; Squamata; Agamidae.
AGGGUAAGGCUCAUCUAUUGCACUUUGGAUGUGCUGACCCCUAUGAUUUCCCCAAAUGUGGAAAAAUCA